Molecule: ribosomal RNA, 1443 nt
Filed under: uncultured bacterium
Lineage: Bacteria
Description: 16S ribosomal RNA
Rfam family: Bacterial small subunit ribosomal RNA
Source: RNAcentral
AGGGUUUGAUCAUGGCUCAGAACGUACGCUGGCGGCACGCCUAACACAUGCAAGUCGAACGAAGUAGCAAUACUUAGUGGCAGACGGGUGAGUAACAUGUAGGUAUCUGCCCUUUGGCCUGGAAUAACACGAGGAAACUUGUGCUAAUACCGGAUAAGUCUUUACGGAGAAAGCUUUAUGCACCAUUGGAUGAGCCUGCACUUGAUUAGUUUGUUGGUGGGGUAAUGGCCUACCAAGACUGUGAUCAAUAGCUGAUUUGAGAGGAUGAUCAGCCACAUUGGGACUGAGACACGGCCCAAACUCCUACGGGAGGCAGCAGUGGGGAAUCUUGCACAAUGGAGGAAACUCUGAUGCAGCGAUGCCGCGUGAGUGAAGAAGGCCCUUGGGUUGUAAAGCUCUUUCGUCGGGGAAGAAAAUGACUGUACCCGAAUAAGAAGGUCCGGCUAACUUCGUGCCAGCAGCCGCGGUAAUACGAAGGGACCUAGCGUAGUUCGGAAUUACUGGGCUUAAAGAGUUCGUAGGUGGUUGAAAAAGUUGGUGGUGAAAUCCCAGAGCUUAACUCUGGAACUGCCAUCAAAACUUUUCAGCUAGAGUAUGAUAGAGGAAAGCAGAAUUUCUAGUGUAGAGGUGAAAUUCGUAGAUAUUAGAAAGAAUACCAAUUGCGAAGGCAGCUUUCUGGAUCAUUACUGACACUGAGGAACGAAAGCAUGGGUAGCGAAGAGGAUUAGAUACCCUCGUAGUCCAUGCCGUAAACGAUGUGUGUUAGACGUUGGAAAUUUAUUUUCAGUGUCGCAGCGAAAGCAAUAAACACACCGCCUGGGGAGUACGACCGCAAGGUUAAAACUCAAAUGAAUUGACGGGGACCCGCACAAGUAGUGGAGCAUGUGGUUUAAUUCGAAGAUACGCGCAGAACCUUACCAACACUUGACAUGUUCGUCGCGACUCUAAGAGAUUAGAGUUUUCGGUUCGGCCGGACGAAACACAGGUGCUGCAUGGCUGUCGUCAGCUCGUGUCGUGAGAUGUUGGGUUAAGUCCCGCAACGAGCGCAACCCCUACCUUUAGUUGCCACCAUUAAGUUGGGCACUUUAAAGGAACUGCCAGUGAUAAGCUGGAGGAAGGUGGGGAUGACGUCAAGUCCUCAUGGCCCUUACGUGUUGGGCUACACACGUGCUACAAUGGCACUUACAGUGGGAAGCUAAGACGCGAGUCCAAGCUAAUCCCUAAAAUGUGCCUCAGUUCGGAUUGCACUCUGUAACUCGAGUGCAUGAAGCUGGAAUUACUAGUAAUCGCGGAUCAGCGCGCCGCGGUGAAUACGUUCCCGGGUCUUGUACACACCGCCCGUCACACCAUGGAAGUUGGUUACACCUUAAGGCAAAUCGUCAACCUUCGGGAGACAUUUGACUACGGUACGAUCAGCAACUGGGGUGAAGUCAUAACAAGGUA